RNAcentral lists this non-coding RNA (67 nucleotides) under unclassified sequences. RNAcentral's name for it is "DUF3800-VIII RNA". It matches the Rfam family "DUF3800-VIII RNA". From Rfam's summary of the family: Bacteroidetes, Cyanobacteria, Firmicutes, Planctomycetes (1 example), Proteobacteria, Tenericutes (1 example). Nearby to DUF3800 The record is from Rfam by way of RNAcentral.
CGCGUCCUGCGCCGGUCGAAGCCCUGCGUUCCUACGCGGGGUGUUUUCGUAGGCCGGGCAGGAUGCG